AACGUAGGAGACAAACGUUAUCCGGCGUUACUGGGCGUAAAUGGCGUGUAGGUGGUUGUGUCAGUCUGGCGUGAAAUUUUUCGGCUUAACCGGGAAAGGUCGUCGGAUACUGCAGAACUAGAGGACGGUAGAGGCGUGUGGAAUUCCGGGUGUAGUGGUGAAAUGCGUAGAGAUCCGGAGGAACACCAGUGGCGAAGGCGACACGCUGGGCCGUACCUGACACUGAUGCGCGACAGCAUGGGGAGCAAACAGG
This 253-nucleotide ribosomal RNA is filed under the name uncultured bacterium. Its description in RNAcentral is "partial 16S ribosomal RNA". It matches the Rfam family "Bacterial small subunit ribosomal RNA", at positions 524 to 776 of the family's 1533-position model. The record is from RNAcentral.